RNAcentral lists this ribosomal RNA (462 nucleotides) under uncultured bacterium. Its description in RNAcentral is "partial 16S ribosomal RNA". It matches the Rfam family "Bacterial small subunit ribosomal RNA", at positions 28 to 507 of the family's 1533-position model. The record is from RNAcentral.
GACGAACGCUGGCGGCGUGCUUAACACAUGCAAGUCGAACGGAAAGGCCCUUCGGGGUACUCGAGUGGCGAACGGGUGAGUAACACGUGGGUGAUCUGCCCUGCACUUUGGGAUAAGCCUGGGAAACUGGGUCUAAUACCGAAUAGGACCACGCGCUUCAUGGUGUGUGGUGGAAAGCUUUUGCGGUGUGGGAUGGGCCCGCGGCCUAUCAGCUUGUUGGUGGGGUAAUGGCCUACCAAGGCGACGACGGGUAGCCGGCCUGAGAGGGUGACCGGCCACACUGAGACUGAGAUACGGCCCAGACUCCUACGGGAGGCAGCAGUGGGGAAUAUUGCCCAAUGGGCGCAAGCCUGAUGCAGCGACGCCGCGUGAGGGAUGACGGCCUUCGGGUUGUAAACCUCUUUCACCAGGGACGAAGCGUAAGUGACGGUACCUGGAGAAGAAGCACCGGCCAGCUACGUG